CAGUAGCCGCGGGAAUACGGAGGGUGCAAGCGUUAUCCGGAUUUAUUGGUUUUAAAGGGUCCGUAGGCGGACUUAUAAGUCAGUGGUGAAAGCCUGUCGCUUAACGAUAGAACUGCCAUUGAUACUGUAAGUCUUGAGUAUAUUUGAGGUAGCUGGAAUAAGUAGUGUAGCGGUGAAAUGCAUAGAUAUUACUUAGAACACCAAUUGCGAAGGCAGGUUACCAAGAUAUAACUGACGCUGAGGGACGAAAGCGUGGGUAGCGAACAGGAUUAGAUACCCCAGUAGUCCCUGUCUCUUAUAC
RNAcentral lists this ribosomal RNA (301 nucleotides) under uncultured bacterium. RNAcentral describes it as "partial 16S ribosomal RNA". It matches the Rfam family "Bacterial small subunit ribosomal RNA", at positions 509 to 807 of the family's 1533-position model. The record is from RNAcentral.